RNAcentral lists this ribosomal RNA (486 nucleotides) under uncultured bacterium. RNAcentral's name for it is "bacterial SSU rRNA". It matches the Rfam family "Bacterial small subunit ribosomal RNA", at positions 30 to 515 of the family's 1533-position model. The record is from RNAcentral.
AUUGAACGCUGGCGGCAUGCCUUACACAUGCAAGUCGAACGGCAGCACGGGAGCAAUCCUGGUGGCGAGUGGCGAACGGGUGAGUAAUAUAUCGGAACGUGCCCAGUCGUGGGGGAUAACGUAGCGAAAGCUACGCUAAUACCGCAUACGAUCUAUGGAUGAAAGCGGGGGAUCGCAAGACCUCGCGCGAUUGGAGCGGCCGAUAUCAGAUUAGGUUGUUGGUGGGGUAAAAGCCUACCAAGCCUGCGAUCUGUAGCUGGUCUGAGAGGACGACCAGCCACACUGGAACUGAGACACGGACCAGACUCCUACGGGAGGCAGCAGUGAGGAAUAUUGGACAAUGGGCGAGAGCCUGAUCCAGCCAUGCCGCGUGCAGGAAGACGGCCCUAUGGGUUGUAAACUGCUUUGUACGGGAAGAAACACCCCCUCGUGAGGGGGCUUGACGGUACCGUAAGAAUAAGGAUCGGCUAACUCCGUGCCAGCACG